Schistocerca serialis cubense is the source of this 530-nucleotide long non-coding RNA. RefSeq lists it as uncharacterized. Lineage: Eukaryota; Metazoa; Arthropoda; Insecta; Orthoptera; Acrididae. The record is from RefSeq and is a predicted model, not a curated record. The transcript is spliced from 3 exons.
GUCGCGCAUCCGCCGCCGCCUGCGCGUCGCCGAGCAGAACCGCCUGGCGCUGCGGCUGCGCGCCGUGCCGCCCUACUUCCGCAGCGUCUGGGGGCAGGCCUUCGCCUUCACCGACGACCUCACCACCAGGGCGGUGGACGAGUCGCUGCAAGAUGGGCGCGAGGGCGCCUCGCAGGUCAGCAGCAGCAGUGACGUCAGCAGGGACGCUGCGGUGGCAGUCGCCUCGCUGCUGAUGCGCUGAUCCUACUCUGGUGCUGGUUGAACUACGUCUGUACCACAGCAGCAGUCUUCGCGACUUGUUGUUCAGGUAUGCAAUAGUACAGCUACAGCAGCCCCUGAACCAAUGCAUGUAAAGCAAUUAGAACAGUAUAUUAAUGCUUGUAUUCAACCAGCUUCAAAAAACACCAUUGUUGAUCUUGUAACUGUAAAAUCUGUGCAGGCUAAGUUUACUGAAAGAAUGCCUAUAUAUGUAAAUGCACUUACACGCCUCAAUAUGAUUCAGGCCGAAUUCAAGGCAUAAAGAAAAUAAU